RNAcentral lists this ribosomal RNA (208 nucleotides) under Escherichia coli. RNAcentral describes it as "partial 16S ribosomal RNA". It matches the Rfam family "Bacterial small subunit ribosomal RNA", at positions 1 to 215 of the family's 1533-position model. The record is from RNAcentral. Lineage: Bacteria; Pseudomonadati; Pseudomonadota; Gammaproteobacteria; Enterobacterales; Enterobacteriaceae.
AAAUUGAAGAGUUUGAUCAUGGCUCAGAUUGAACGCUGGCGGCAGGCCUAACACAUGCAAGUCGAACGGUAACAGGAAGAAGCUUGCUUCUUUGCUGACGAGUGGCGGACGGGUGAGUAAUGUCUGGGAAACUGCCUGAUGGAGGGGGAUAACUACUGGAAACGGUAGCUAAUACCGCAUAAGGUCGCAAGACCAAAGAGGGGGACCU